CCCCUCAGUCAAGGUCUAUUGACUUUGAAACUUUGCUUAGAUUUCAUGUAUUAGUUUGUGAUUGGGUCAGUUUAUGGGGAACCACUAGUGGUAGGUCAAUGAUAAUUGGUAUGCAGUUGUAUAAGCAUUAGCACAUCUUAUUUCCAUGGGGAAUAUUUGGUCCUUACCCCUCAGUCAUGGUCUAUUGACUUUGAAACUUUUACUUAGUUUACAUGUAUUAGUUUGUGAUUAGGUCAGUUUAAGAUGAACCACUAAUGUUAAGUCAAUGAUAUUGGAAGUUUCAUUUCCAUGGAGAUUAUAUAACCCCCACCCCCUAAUUAUGGUUCAUUGACUUUGAAACUUUUACAUAGUUUACAAGUUAAUGUUUGUGUUUAGGUUUGUUUAAAGGGAACAACUUAUGAAAAGUCAAUGGUAUUUGGUUUGCAGUUGUAUUAGCAUUGGCACAUCUCAUUUCCAUGGAGAUUGUUUAGCCCUGUACCUUCAGUCAUGGUUCAUUGACUUUGAAUAUUUGCAUAACUUACAUGUUAAAGUAUUGCUAUUUUAAUU
Molecule: long non-coding RNA, 546 nt
Organism: Mytilus californianus (California mussel)
Lineage: Eukaryota; Metazoa; Mollusca; Bivalvia; Mytilida; Mytilidae
Exons: 2
Source: RefSeq, a predicted model, not a curated record